Brienomyrus brachyistius is the source of this 1377-nucleotide long non-coding RNA. RefSeq lists it as uncharacterized. The transcript has 3 exons. The record is from RefSeq and is a predicted model, not a curated record. Lineage: Eukaryota; Metazoa; Chordata; Actinopteri; Osteoglossiformes; Mormyridae.
UCUUACCUGAGGAGGGCAGCGGGAGGGUUAAGGCUGACAGGCAAGUGGAAGUGGUCGGGGCCCAUAUGCUUUAAUCCCCCCCAGCGACUCCGGGUUGAGGUUUUGAAUUGCCCACCCCCGACCACAGAGGGGGCCCGAUUACCAGCGGCUAAUGUCGCCAAAGCACCGCACGUGCUGCCUCCGGUACGUCCUCAGUCACAUACGGGCCAGACGGAAUGGACAGACAGCGCAGGCACAGCGCAGGCACAGCCGGGCACGUCUGGCCAAUCGAACCACAAAAAUGCAGCACUCACUCUGCAGAGAAGCACACAAAGCCAAGAUAGGCAUCGGCAGCUACCGGCUAUGAAUAAAACAAUGGCGUGCAAACUCCGCCGGGGUACAAGCCCCCGAUACCACCAGAGAUUUUAUCAGCUGAUUAAGCUGUUUCUUCAGGUGCUGUGUACAGUUACCGCAGGUCACACCGCACAUAUCUGCUCUAUCGUAGCGCCAUUACCCCAGCAGUGCCAGUCCUUUGAUCUGCCUUUGAAUCUGGUGCCAUGACAUAGUGCCACUUCGGUUUCCUAGGUGCGUGUUCCAAACAAACAUCUCCCCCAGGCUCAACCCCAACCCCCCGGCGAUCCACAGGGUUCAAAACGACAGGUACACAGAUGUUUAUCGGCCUCUCCUACAAACCCGGUUGAGCAAUCAUGUUGCUUAAAAUGCUCCAUGAGUCGUUAAGUGCUCUGCAAUCAGCUGGAGAUACAGCACUUAUCUCAGGUGAGGGAGUGACUCUCAGUUUCAUUUGCUAACGAGAAGACGAGAGCUUCUCCGUAUUCGUUUCUCUGGCUGAAUCAGGAUGGCGCCAAAAGGUUCCGUCACCUUCUAAGCAAAGGUGGGAUUUCAGGCCUCUGGUGUAGAUACAGACGGGGGGGGGGUGAUGGGGGAUUCAAACCCACAGCCCCGUCCAAGCGAAGCAGCAGCUGCCCCCCGAGCUAUGCUGCCAUCAUGAAUGCAGUAUAGGAGUCUGUGAAAUGGCCACCAGACAGGCUGGCAGAAGAAGACCCACAACUCAACACCUACUGGGCCAAGCAAACACAAGCAGAAGGCCUUAGGAAUACAGGCAGCCCCCUGACCAAAGCUUUCACCUUUUUACUGAAAUUGACAGGACUGAAAACAUUUACAGCACUCUCAGCUGGAGGACUGUGGCAAAGAAGUGAGCCUUUCCAUUGGGUUAGAAAAAUAUUUUGAAAUUUUUCUCUAAUGUUACACUUUUUUAAAUUUAUUUUAAUAGCAGACCACGAAGGCAUUGUGCUACUGUUACUGCAUGAUGUAAUAUUUGCUGAUACUGCAGUAUUUUUUGUUAGAGAAAUUCAGUUAAAAAUGAAAAAAAUGGGUUGA